GAUGAAGAACGCAGCGAAAUGCGAUAAGUAGUGUGAAUUGCAGAAUUCAGUGAAUCAUCGAAUCUUUGAACGCACAUUGCGCCCGCCAGUAUUCUGGCGGGCAUGCCUGUCCGAGCGUCAUUUCAACCCUCGAACCCCUCCGGGGGGUCGGCGUUGGGGAUCGGCCCCUCACCGGGCCGCCCCCGAAAUCCAGUGGCGGUCUCGCCGCAGCCUCUCCUGCGCAGUAGUUUGCACACUCGCACCGGGAGCGCGGCGCGGCCACAGCCGUAAAACACCCCAAACUCUGAAAUGUUGACCUCGGAUCAGGUAGGAAUACCCGCUGAACUUAAGCAUAUCAAUAAGCGGAGGA
Molecule: unclassified non-coding RNA, 349 nt
Filed under: soil metagenome
Description: partial contains 5.8S ribosomal RNA, internal transcribed spacer 2, and large subunit ribosomal RNA
Rfam family: 5.8S ribosomal RNA (bases 1-120)
Source: RNAcentral